Molecule: ribosomal RNA, 440 nt
Filed under: uncultured bacterium
Lineage: Bacteria
Description: partial 16S ribosomal RNA
Rfam family: Bacterial small subunit ribosomal RNA
Source: RNAcentral
CCUACGUGGGGCAGCAGUGGGGGAUAUUGCACAAUGGGGGGAACCCUGAUGCAGCGACGCCGCGUGGGUGAAGAAGCGCCUCGGCGCGUAAAGCCCUGUCAGCAGGGAAGAAAAUGACGGUACCUGAAGAAGAAGCCCCGGCUAACUACGUGCCAGCAGCCGCGGUAAUACGUGGGGGGCAAGCGUUAUCCGGAUUUACUGGGUGUAAAGGGGGCGCAGACGGCGAUGCAAGCCAGGAGUGAACGCCCGGGGCCCAACCCCGGGACUGCCCUUGGAACUGCAUGGCUGGAGUGCGGGAGGGGCAGGCGGAAUUCCUGGUGUAGCGGUGAAAUGCGUAGAUAUCAGGAGGAACACCGGCGGCGAAGGCGGCCUGCUGGACCGCGACUGACGUUGAGGCUCGAAAGCGUGGGGAGCGAACAGGAUUAGAUACCCGGGUAGUC